This is a long non-coding RNA of Loxodonta africana (African savanna elephant), 7408 nucleotides long. RefSeq lists it as uncharacterized. The transcript has 3 exons. Lineage: Eukaryota; Metazoa; Chordata; Mammalia; Proboscidea; Elephantidae. The record is from RefSeq and is a predicted model, not a curated record.
GGCCAGGGGCGUGAUAGCAGAGAGCGACCGCACGCCUCGUGGGGCUGCGAGUGUUCCGGGGCGCUGGCCCUUUAAGGGCUGGCGGACGCGGCGGCCCCGCGCUCCCAACUCCAGAAAGCGAGCUGCGCCGCGGAGCAGUAAACAGCCAGGUGGACGGCCCGCCCGCUGACGUCAGGGGAAACAGACACAGAUUUAAAGGGCCAGGUCCCGGAUUUGGCCUUAAAGGGGCCGCAGCCGUCUAGCUGGAGGGGGAAAAUUGGGGACGCUUUCUCCAACUCCUACUCCGCUAUUGUCCCCUCUUUCGUUGUUUUGCUUGUUCCCGGAAGCCCAGAUUGGAAUAAGCGGAUGUUUCUAUGAAGGGUCUCCAAGUGUUUGGUUCUUGUUGACAAAUUCGUCUCCUUGCGCAAACAGGGCUACCACCGAACCGGUUAUGGACCGUGGAUGGUGGAUCUUAACGGUAAUAACGGCGGGUUCCGCUAACAUCCACCAUGCCUGGUCCAUUUUUUUUGUUUUUGUUUUUCCUUUUGAGCUCUUAAGAAACGAACUCAAAGAAGGACACACGACAGCCUCCUGAUGAAGAGAUGGGGGCAGAAGGAACCCGCGUGCGCUCUCACAUUCCUCUGCUGCAGCCACGUAACUUCAGACGUCUUCCAAGCUUGCGGAGCUGUUUAUCCUCUUCUCUGCAGAGGACUCCUUGGACCUACUCACCCACCCCACUCUCCUACACCCUAAAGAUUAAAUGAUGAGAGUCAGUUUGCUACAUUCAGUCCCACACAAAAGCAGCAGGAAGAUCUAAGUAAACAAUGUGCUCAUGAUAAGUAAGUUGCAGACAUCGAUUCUUCAUCCCUAAAUAUUUAAGCACGCAUCUGCUAAGAGUACGGCCAUUUUAUAAAACCACAAAACGAUUACUGUACCUAAACAAUCCUAUUAACAACUAAUAUUCAGUCCAGAUUCAAUUUUUUCCAAUUGUCCCAAGAGAUGAACAAAGAACUACAGCUAUUUUUUAACUAAGAGCCAAUCAAGAUUCAUGUAUUUUAUUGGGACCUUUUUCAUAUGGGCUUUGAAAAUGUCUAUUAACCUCCAGAUGUUGAGACAACGGCAAACAAAGACUCAACCUUUCUCAGACUAACCCAAGAGCAUAAGCAGUGGAGACCUAAGUCCUGUUAUACCUUGCUCUGCUCAAAAGGUACAAGGCAGUUCUUCUAUCCUUUACAGAUACAAUUUUUAUGGAUUUUACCCGUCAGCACUCGAGGACAGAAAUUUUUGUCCUUGUAACGAAUAUAGAGGAUGCUGCAGGCACCAGGUUUCUGAUCUGGUCCAGGGAAACGUCUGAAUGCAGAUUCCUUUCUCAAACGCUACCCUGAACUAGGCUCCCCCAGGAAUCAGGGCAGAGUUGCUAUUUACAGAUUCUUGCUGAUAAUGCCCAUGCCGGUGACACUGUGGUGAGACCGGGAUACUCACCCACUACAGGGGAACACAGGCCCUGCGUGGCGCAAACUGUUUGCACUCCACCACUAACCCAGAGGUCCUCGUGGUGCGUGGUCAAAGCGCUCAGAUGGUAAUCGAAAGGUCGGAGGUUGGAAGCCGGCAGCCGCUGCGUGAGAGGAGGAUGUGGCAGUCUGCUCCCUUAGAGAUUUACAGCCUUGGGAACCCUACAGGCUCGCUACGAGUUGGAGUCGACUUGACGGCAGUGGGUCACUAACGUAAAGGUUGAUAGUUCAAACCCACCAGGCAGCGUCGCAGAAGAACGGCCUGAUGAUCUGCUUCCACAGAGGUUACAGUCGAGAAAACUGAUGAAGCAGUUCUACUGUCACACAGGGCUGCCAGGAGUCGGAGCAGACUUUGCUGCACGCGACACCUAGGUGUAAGGCAGGCCCUGGGUGGCGCGAAUGGUUUGCACUCAACUACUAACCUAGAGAAGAAAGGCCUGGAGAUCUGCUUCUGUAAAGAUUACAGCCAAGAAAAUCCUAUGGAGCAGUUCUGCUCUAUCACACGUGGGACUGCCAAUGAGUCAGAACUGAUUUGAUGUCAGAGGGGUUUUUUUGUUUGUUUAUAGGAAGGAUGAGUUGCUGGGUGGCACAAACAGUGAAGUGAGUAGCGACUAACCAAAACGUGGUAGUUAAAACCCAUCUAUAAGUGCUUGGAGCCCUACUGGUACAGUGGUUAAGCGGUCAGCUGCUAACCAAAAGAGUGGCAUUUGAAUUCACCAGCUGCUCCUUGGAAACUCUGUGGGGCAGUUCUACUCUGUCCUAUAGGGUUAUUAUGACUUGGAAUUGACUCCACAGCAAUGGGUUUGGUAUUUUGAUAUAGGUGCCUUGGAAGAAAGUCCUGGUGAUCUGCUUCUGAUAAGAUCACACCUAUGAAAGUCUGAAGGAGAGCAGUUCUAUUCUGCAGCACAUACGGCUGCCAUUCAUUGGAAAUACUCGAUGGCAAGUGGUUUAGUAUAGGUGGAAGUAGUGUCCCUGGGUGGUGCAAGCAGUUAGUACGCCUGGCUGCUAAAUGAAUAAUUGGAGGUUCAAGCCCAACCACAGACAAUUCAGAAGAAUUGAUCUACUUUUAAAUAAUCAGCCACUGAGAAUCGUAUGACAAGGUCAACAAGCAAAAAUCAGACGAUCUUCUAUGUAGCAGCAAUGAAAAAUCUGAAAGCGCAAUUAAGGAAAUGAUUCCAUUUAAAAUAGUACCUAAGAGAAUAAAAUGCCUAGGAAUAAAUCUAAACAGGAAUGUGAAAGAUUUACACAACGAAAAUUAUAAAACACUGCUGGAAGAAAUUAAAAAUCAAACCAAACCGUCUUAAACGCUAGCAAGCAGCCAUCUAAGAUGCAUCAUCGAGUCUCAACCCACCUGGAUCAAAGGAGAAUGAAGAACACCAAGGACACAAGGUGAUUACGAGCCCAAGAGACAGAAAGGGCCACAUGAACCAGUGACUACAUCAUCCUGAGACCAGAAGAACCAGAUGGUGCCCUGCCACAACCGAUGACUGCCCUGACAGGGAACACAACAGAGAACCCCUGAGGGAGCAGGAGAGCAGUGGGAUCCAGGCCCCAAAUUCUCAGAAGACCAGACUUAAUGGUCUGACUGAGACUGGAAGGACCCCGGUGGUCAUGGCCCCCAGACCUUCUGUUGGCCCAGGACAGGAACCAUUCCCAAAGCCAACUCUUCAGACAUGGAUUGGACUGGACAAUGGGUUGGAGAGGGAUGCUGGUGAGGAGUGAGCUUCUUGGAUCAGGUGGACACGUGAGACUAUGUUGGCAUCUCCUGCCUGGAGGGGAGAUGAAAGGGUGAAGGGGGUUAGAACCUGGCAAAAAGGACAUGAAAAGAGAGAGUGGAGGGAGACGGCAGGCUGUCUCAUUAGGGGAAGAGUAAUUGGAAGUGUGUAGGAAGGUGCAUAUGUGUUUUUGUGUGAGAGACUGACUUGAUUUAUAAACUUGCACUUAAAGCACAAUAAAAAUUAUUUAAAAAAAAAAAUCAAACCAAACCCUUUGUGGUUGAGCCAAUUCCAACUCACAGUGACCCUACAGAGACCCUGUAGCAGCCCUAUAGAGAUUAAAGAAGGCUUAAAUAAAUGAAAAGAUGUUCCAUGUUCAUGGACUGGAACACUUAAUACUGUUGAGAUGUAAUACUACCCAAAGCUAUGUACAGAUUCAACGCAAUCCUGAUCAAAAUUCCAACAGCUUUCUUUACCAAAAUGGAAAAACCAAUCCUCAAUGUUAUAUGCAAUGGCAAGAGGCCCUGAAUAGCUUAAGCCAUGUUGAAAGAGAAGAACAAAGUAGGAAUCACAUUUCUUAAUUUUAAAACACAUUAUACAUCCACAGUAAUCAAAACAGCCUGGUACUGGUAUAACAACAGACACAUAUCAACGGAAUAGAACUGAGAGUCUAGAAAUAAACCCACACAUCUAUGAUCAACUGAUUUUUGUCAAGGGUGCUAAGUCCUUUCAAUGAGGAAGGAAGAGUCUCUUCAAUAAAUGCUGCUGGAAAAAUUGGAUUUCCACAUGCAGAAAAAUGAAGCAGGAUCCAUGUUUCACAUCAUACACAAAAACUUGUCAAAAUGGAUUAAAGACCUAAAUGUGAAAACUAAAACCAUUAAAUUCUUAGAAGAAAAUGUAGUGGCAACACUGAAAGGCCUAGCUUUUAACAAUGGAUUAUGUAAUAUAAAAACAAAAGCACGAACAGCGAAAGACAAAAGAAGUAAAUGGGACCUAAUAAAAAUCAAAAACUUGUGUUCAUCAAGACUGUACCAAGAAAGUAAAAAGACAAGCUACCAACUGGGAGAAUAUCUUUGAAAACAACAUAACCAAUAAGAGUCUAACACAUAUAAAAAUUCGACAACAAGAGGACAAAUAACUCAAUCGUGAAAUGGGCAAAAACCUUGAACAGACAUUACACCAAAGAGGACAUUCAAAUGGUCACCAAACACAUGAAAAGAUGCUCAACAUAGUUUGCCAGUUAGCUAUCAGAGAAGUAAAUCAAAACCACAAUGAGAUACCAUUUCACUCACUAGGAUGGCUAAGACAAAGAAAACAAAAACAGAAAAUAACAAACAUUGGUGAGGAUGUGAGGAAAUCGGAGCCCUUAUCCAUUGCUGGUGGCAAUGCAAAAUGGUACAUCCAUUGUGGAAAACAGUGUGGCAGUUCCUCAAAAAACUAAAAAUAGAACUACCAUAUGAGCCAGCAAUUCCACUGCCAGCUGUGUACCCAAAAGACUUGAAAGCAGAGACUCAAACAGAUAUUUGUACACCAAUGUUCACUGCAGCACUAUUCACAACAGCUGAAAAGAUGCAAACAACCUAAAAGCCCACCCACAGACGAAUGGAUAAACAAAAUAUGGUAUAUACAUACAAUGGAAUACUACUCAGCCAGUUAAGAGAAAUACAUACUACAAUACGGAUGGAACCUGAAAACAGUACGCUGAGUGAAGAAAGUCAAUCACAAAAGGUCAACCAUUAUAUGACCUCACAUAAGCAGACAAGAACAGGCUAAUAUAUACAGACCAAAGUUUAUUACUGGUUACCAAGGGCAAGAGCGAGCAGGAAAGGGGAGUUAUUGCUUAUGGAAUAUUGAGUUUCAGUUUACGGUGAUGAAAAUCAUAUUAAGGGUAGGGUUGCACAGCCGAUUAAUGUAAUUGCUGUCAAUUAGCUGUACAGCGUAAAACGCUGAAAUGGGAAAAGUUGUAUCAUAGAUACAAUUACAACAACAACCAUGAAAAAAAGAGCUGCGACUGAGGCUGCUUAUGUAUAACCAAAUAUCUCAUGGAAUUUGGUUUCUUGGUUUGGAGGUUUAGGAUCAUGGUUUCAUGGGACAUCCCACUUAAAUGGCCUAAUACUGUGUUUAGUGCUACUGUUCUACCUCCUAGUUCACCGUGUAGUGCCUGGGGUCUUAAAAGUUUGCAAGUGGCCAUCCAAGGUACAAUUGGUCUCUCUAUUCACACGGAGCAACAGAGAAGGAGGAGAAGCAGGAAUAGGAGGAAAUGGAAUGUGUGGCUAACUGCCUCCAUGAACAACUGCCCCCUCUGCCAAGAGACCAGGAGAACUGGAUGGUGCCUGGCUAGCAUUACUGAACAUUUUAAUCCAAGAUUCUAUAGAAGAAUUUUGAUCAAAGGGGGAAAAAUGUAGGACAGAAUUUCUAAUUCUCAUAGAAUCCAGACUUUCUGGAGCUAUGGAGGCUGGAUGAAGCCCCGAACUACUGCCCCAGGAUAAUCUUUCAACCUUAAAGCCAAAAUAUCCCCUGAAGUUUUCUUAAAACUAAACAGUCGUUCAGCUUAACUAGUAAAGAAUGUCUGCCUUGACCAGUUACCACCACCGACUGCUCUGACAGGGAACACAAUGGAGAGUCCCUGAUGGAGCAGGAGAGAAGUCGGGUGCAGAACUCAAAUUCUAGUAAAAAGACCAGACUUAAUGGUCUGAUUGAGGCUGGAGGAGCCCCAGAAGACAUGGCCCCCAGACUCUUUGUUAACCCAGAACUAAAACCAUUCCUGAAGCCAAAUCUUCAGACAAAGAAUAGACCGGACUAUAAGACAUAAAAUGAUACUCACGAAGAGUAUGCUUCUUGGUUUAAGUAGAUACACGAGACUAAAUGGGAAGCUCCUCUCCGGAGGCGGGAUGAGAAGGCACAAAGGGACAGGGGCUGGCUGAAUGGACAUGAGAAAUGUGGGGUGGAAAGGAGGAAGGUGUGGUCACAUUACAGGGAUAGCAACUAUGGUCACAAAACAACAGGUGUAUAAAUUUUUGCAUGAGAAACUAACUUGAGCUGUGAACUUCCACCUAAAGCACAAUUAAAAAGGAAAAAGUCUGCCUUGAUCGUUGUGCUCUUUUAAGGCCUAUAUGGGAUCAAACUGACAAAAACAACUCAAAAGAUCAGAUAGGAAACUUAGGGAGCAGUGGCUUUCUUAAUGGGGGAGGAACAACCCGGAAGAGAAGGGUGAGGAUGUUUGCACAAUUUGUCACUGAAUUGUACAUACAUAAAUUGUUGAAUUUGGUGUUAUGUUCUGUGUGUACAUUCUCAACAACAAAAAUACAUUAUAAAAAAAGAAAACCCUACAGAAUACAGAAUUGACUCAAUGGUAAACGGUAACAGGUGAAAGUAUAAAGUGACAAAGGUAUGUUCGGAAAUGAUCUGCCAGUUUAUCACCACUGUUCCUCUCUUAAUGUGGGAAGAUUAGGGAUACCUUUUUCUUUUUUCUUGCUUCCAUGCUUUGUGUAAAUUAUUUUUUUAAUUACUAUUGUUUCAGUAAGUAUUUUUAAAACAAAGGGGUAAGAUGAACAAGAAUAAAACUUUAGCUAGUGAACAGGUGCUUUUCCAUGUCAUGUCAACUCUCCAGGGUAUACUGUAGUAUCAACUGUUUCUCAGCACGGAUAAAAGAGCUCACGUUUAUCUGAUGUCACAGAGGUUUAAGCGCUGCUAUUCUGAAGAGUCUAAUACUUUACAUUUUCUUUUAAAGUAUAAAAGUAAUACAAUCACAUUGCAGUAAGUAUGGAAAAACAGAAAAGACAAAAACAAAACACCUAUAACCACCUUAACCCAGUAACUAUCAUGAUUUUUGCAUAUUUUCUUCCCCCUGCCACAAACCGCCUCCCCCCCCCCCCGCCAGGACAGAAAAAGCUACGUUCAAAUUCUAAUUUGUCUCCUUACUAGUCCAGUGACCUUAAGAAGGUAUAAAAUCUAAGUCUUGGGAAAUACAUAAUCGGAGCCUUGGUUUUCUCAUCUGUUAGCAACUCUGUUUUGGAGUUGUUGUGGAGAUUAGAGUUCUAUGAAAAGGGUUUAGCGACUGCCUGGCACACAGCAGGUAUGUAAUGGCAGUCAUUAUGUCUGCAUCUAACUGAGGUCCCUGGGUGGCGCUAACAGCUUGUGCUCGACUACUAAUCAAAAGAUUGGCAGCUGGAAUUCACCCAGAAGCACCACAGGAGAAAGGCC